This 86-nucleotide transfer RNA is filed under the name Pseudomonas phage vB_PaS-HSN4. RNAcentral describes it as "tRNA-Tyr". It matches the Rfam family "tRNA". Rfam says of the family: Transfer RNA (tRNA) molecules are approximately 80 nucleotides in length. Their secondary structure includes four short double-helical elements and three loops (D, anti-codon, and T loops). Further hydrogen bonds mediate the characteristic L-shaped molecular structure. tRNAs have two regions of fundamental functional importance: the anti-codon, which is responsible for specific mRNA codon recognition, and the 3' end, to which the tRNAs corresponding amino acid is attached (by aminoacyl-tRNA synthetases). tRNAs cope with the degeneracy of the genetic code in two manners: having more than one tRNA (with a specific anti-codon) for a particular amino acid; and 'wobble' base-pairing, i.e. permitting non-standard base-pairing at the 3rd anti-codon position. Lineage: Duplodnaviria; Heunggongvirae; Uroviricota; Caudoviricetes. The record is from RNAcentral.
GGCCCAUUAACUCAGCGGUAGAGGGCUACUACCAUCCGGCUGUAGCCCGGACGAGAGUGGCUGGGGUUCGAAUCCCCAAUGGGUCG